GGGAUCUCAUAAUUCGAUUUUUUUAUUUAAAUACUUAACAUUUUCUAAGGUAGGAUGUGGAGAUAUUGUGUGGCAGAAAAGUUCGUAUUCAAACGCACAGCCUCAGUGUGCCCUCAGACUAAACAGUGAGCUCGAGCAAGACGUGUCAUCCUCUUUCAGGACGUUAAUCAAAUAGUAGAAUGCAGAUGAUUACGUUUUGAGGAGAAAUUCAUACAAUUUGACAAAGAGCCAUUUACAGACCAGGCAGCCAAGGGACCAUGGAAGAUCCGGACACCCAGGAGGGCCUGCAGGUGACCCAGUCCACUAUCCUCUACCUCAUCCAAGAAGCUUCCAAGCUAGCAACUCCCACCCCUGUCCACAACCGCUCUGUAGACUCAAAGCCUAAGACUUUACCUGUAUCAAAUGAAAGGUCUAAAAAGAAUCAAGUGUCUGAUCAUAGACCUUCUCCUCCUCAGCACAGUUCCUCUCUCAUGAGACUUCAUAACCAGCCAAAAGAUGACUUAGAACAAUGUAGGAGACAUACGAACUCAGUCCUGCCCAGCCGUCAUAGUAGCAGCAGUCCGUGGGAGUUGAUGAGCCUGAUCAACAUGCAGUGUGAGAGACUCCUCCAGUCAGAUGACCAAGAGGGAACCUCAUCUAGGGCUCAGUUGGUUCCUAUAGACUCUGACGAUCAUCCUCCUGAAGGUGUGGGGUACAGUAAGAACACUGUCGCUGUCUGCCCCACUCUAGUCAGUACCAGAGGGGAUUCUCCCCAUCCGCAUGUCGGGUCCAGGGGAGAGAUGGGGGAGUUGGGUGGAGGUGGUUAUUGCUCACCCAUAUGUCCAGGUACCAGUUCUCAGACAUCACCGGAUGUCAAUGGCAGCGACAAAACUAAACCUGGUGUGGGAGCUUCAGACUCUGAGGUUGUAACGAACAAAGAAACAGGAGCCACAUUUUGUCUUAACGGUGAUGGAUUGUCUGUGAGUGAAGAAAGCAGAAGGGUCCCCUGUGCCUUAGUCCAAGAUGACAACACAGUGAAGGAGGUCCGUCCUGAGGCAAAAGACGGGCUGUCAGUUAAACAUCCGUCUGUGUCAUAUAUAAACCUGUUUGGGCAAACGCUUGUCCACAAAGUAGCUACAAUUAUGGAUGCAGCAAGUCUGUCGUCUCCCUCCGUAGACACCAUGACAUGCUUACAUCCAGGCCCAGAAGAGCUGAACCUUAACAUGACCCUGGACUUCAACUCAAACAUAUGUUUUACCUUUGACCCCAAGGAAGACAUGCCACCAGCCCCAAACUCCUCUUAUAAUACUAUGUUGCUCAUAUUGAACAGUGAAGCAGGGUCUGUGAAUGUGAACGAAAAGUCAGUACAAGAUGGCAGUUUUGCAGGCGUCAAAGCAGAGCUCAACGAAAGCUCCAUGGAAGAGAACACAGACACAGUACAAGAUGCCAGUAUUAUUGCAGACUCUCCGUUGGACCUCACCCAAAGGUGCAGGGACUUGGAGGAUGACAUGGGCACUAUCCCCGCAGCCCC
Long non-coding RNA from Oncorhynchus tshawytscha (Chinook salmon), 1510 nucleotides. NCBI's taxonomy places the organism in Eukaryota, Metazoa, Chordata, Actinopteri, Salmoniformes, Salmonidae. The record is from Ensembl.